CUGCCGUUUAGGACCUACUUUCUUGUAGUGGCUAUGCUUCUCCCAAAAAAUUAUAUUUCCACCUGUAUGACCUUUACACGUUUUGUUUUUUUACACCCGUUGAUAAUUACAAUAUUAUUUUGUAUCAUUGUAUUAUCAUUUCAGACUCUUCCUCUGAAAACUCAAGCAGGCAUUCCAAUAAAUAGCUGCGUCGUUACUAAUCUG
Non-coding RNA from Pelobates cultripes (western spadefoot toad), 204 nucleotides. The record is from the annotation of a GenBank genome assembly. NCBI's taxonomy places the organism in Eukaryota, Metazoa, Chordata, Amphibia, Anura, Pelobatidae.